UACGUAGGGUGCGAGCGUUGUCCGGAAUUACUGGGCGUAAAGAGCUCGUAGGUGGUUUGUCGCGUUGUUCGUGAAAACCUGAGGCUUAACCUUGGGCGUGCGGGCGAUACGGGCAGACUGGAGUACUGCAGGGGAGACUGGAAUUCCUGGUGUAGCGGUGAAAUGCGCAGAUAUCAGGAGGAACACCGGUGGCGAAGGCGGGUCUCUGGGCCGUAACUGACGCUGAGGAGCGAAAGCGUGGGGAGCGAACAGG
This 253-nucleotide ribosomal RNA is filed under the name uncultured bacterium. Its description in RNAcentral is "partial 16S ribosomal RNA". It matches the Rfam family "Bacterial small subunit ribosomal RNA", at positions 524 to 776 of the family's 1533-position model. The record is from RNAcentral.